UGAGGCAGGAGAAUUGCUUGAACCCAGGAGGCGGAGGUUGCAGUGAGCCGAGAUCGUGCCACUGCACUCCAGCCUGGGUGACACAGCGAGACUCCGUCUC
RNAcentral lists this microRNA precursor (100 nucleotides) under Cebus imitator (Panamanian white-faced capuchin). Its description in RNAcentral is "miRNA (ENSCCAG00000003727.1)". Lineage: Eukaryota; Metazoa; Chordata; Mammalia; Primates; Cebidae. The record is from RNAcentral.